Molecule: long non-coding RNA, 1293 nt
Filed under: Vitis vinifera (wine grape)
Lineage: Eukaryota; Viridiplantae; Streptophyta; Magnoliopsida; Vitales; Vitaceae
Description: long non-coding RNA (VVIN_LNC001763)
Source: RNAcentral
UUCAAUGUUCCUCUCUCUCAAUUGCCCCUGCUUCAGACCCAGGAUCCCAUCAUUGCUUCCUUCAGGUACAUCCUCUCCUCCCUCUCAUUCCUUUUGGGUUUUUUUCUUUUCUUUUUUUUCCUUUUUGGGGUUUCUCAUGUUCUUAGUAAGUAUUAAUGAUUAAGAUUAUAUAUUUUUGGACUGAGUUUCCGGCUCUCCUCAAAAGACAAAAAGUGUGUUCCCGAGGACAUGUCACUCAAAAUAUUUCUGAUCAUUUGCCAUCAAUUAUUUCCUCUUGUACUUAAGAAUAGUGAUUCUAAGAUACCCACCACCACCCCAUAUUUGAUGGUAAAACCCCAAUCCAAGGAAACGGAAUGGGUUUCUGCAAAAGGGGAAGGAAUCCAUUUCCCGGAGACGGAGAGAGAGUUUCCUCCCCUGUACCCAUCUGCCCAUGUCAACCUUUUUUUCAAAAUUUAAAGAAAUAAGAUGAAAAUAAUGAAGAUGAUUUUCAUUGGUUUCAUUCAAAUUACAUCAAAAGUCUUAAGCAAUCAUUUUUAAUAUUCCAUUACAUUUAAUCUAAGUUUUUCUACACAUAAAUUUUUUAUAAUAAUGUUUUUAAGCUAAAAAAAGAUUAGAUGAGAUUAUUGAUUGCUUUCUAAUUUAGAUUGAGAUCGAUGCUCACCAACCGACCCCGACCCCAACCCCAAAUUGUAAUUUUAAUGGAAUGAAAUUAAAUAAUACAAGGUCACAUCAUCUAGUGCAUUCCAAUCGAAUCUUACAAAAAAAAAAAAGUAUUAAAUUAUAUAUAUAUAUAUAUAUAUGGCAUUGAGAGUGUUUUAUUAAAUAGGAAGCAUGGCCACAUGACUUAAAUAUUUGUCUCCUAUUGUGUCCGGAUUGCUUUUGUCUCUUCCUCCAAGACAAAAAGUCCUUGCUAACUAAGAAUCCUUCUUUUUGCAAUGGCCACCAUCACUUUCAUUCAUAAUUCAAUUACUUUUUCUUGGCCCCAUUUACUUUUUCUUGGCCCCAUUACAAAGGGGAAAAGGUUAAGCAAAGCUCAACGUUCAUGUCUCUCUCAUCAUCAACACCAUUUCCGUUCCCCUUUUAAUUCUAUGAAGAAAGUAUGCUACUAAAUCAUAUGCCUUUUUUGUUUCGUUUCAUGGCCCACAAGACUUAUCCUCGAGGAAUAUGGAAGGCAUUUGUCUAGAAUUGCGAGAACUCUCUUUGAGGCUAUGGCUAAGAACUUGGGACAUGAUCCAAAGCAAUAUGAGUCUAGUCUAGACGAAUCUUCCGGAAUCGUUCGAGUUUAUAGAUACC